CCUACGGGCGGCUGCAGUGGGGAAUAUUGGACAAUGGGGGCAACCCUGAUCCAGCCAUGCCGCGUGUGUGAAGAAGGCCCUCGGGUUGUAAAGCACUUUCAGUGAGGAAGAACGCCUGGUGGUUAAUACCCAUCAGGAAAGACAUCACUCACAGAAGAAGCACCGGCUAACUCCGUGCCAGCAGCCGCGGUAAUACGGAGGGUGCGAGCGUUAAUCGGAAUUACUGGGCGUAAAGCGCGCGUAGGUGGCUUGAUAAGCCGGUUGUGAAAGCCCCGGGCUCAACCUGGGAACGGCAUCCGGAACUGUCAAGCUAGAGUGCAGGAGAGGAAGGUAGAAUUCCCGGUGUAGCGGUGAAAUGCGUAGAGAUCGGGAGGAAUACCAGUGGCGAAGGCGGCCUUCUGGACUGACACUGAGACUGAGGUGCGAAAGCGUGGGUAGCAAACAGGAUUAGAUACCCUAGUAGUC
This 465-nucleotide ribosomal RNA is filed under the name Vreelandella stevensii. RNAcentral describes it as "partial 16S ribosomal RNA". It matches the Rfam family "Bacterial small subunit ribosomal RNA", at positions 338 to 795 of the family's 1533-position model. The record is from RNAcentral. Lineage: Bacteria; Pseudomonadati; Pseudomonadota; Gammaproteobacteria; Oceanospirillales; Halomonadaceae.